RNAcentral lists this ribosomal RNA (468 nucleotides) under uncultured bacterium. RNAcentral's name for it is "partial 16S ribosomal RNA". It matches the Rfam family "Bacterial small subunit ribosomal RNA", at positions 28 to 507 of the family's 1533-position model. The record is from RNAcentral.
GACGAACGCUGGCGGCGUGCUUAACACAUGCAAGUCGAACGGAAAGGCCCUGCUUUUGUGGGGUGCUCGAGUGGCGAACGGGUGAGUAACACUUGAGUAACCUGCCCUUGACUUUGGGAUAACUUCAGGAAACUGGGGCUAAUACCGGAUAGGAGCUCCUGCUGCAUGGUGGGGGUUGGAAAGUUUCGGCGGUUGGGGAUGGACUCGCGGCUUAUCAGCUUGUUGGUGGGGUAGUGGCUUACCAAGGCUUUGACGGGUAGCCGGCCUGAGAGGGUGACCGGCCACAUUGGGACUGAGAUACGGCACAGACUCCUACGGGAGGCAGCAGUGGGGAAUAUUGCACAAUGGGCGGAAGCCUGAUGCAGCAACGCAGCGUGCGGGAUGACGGCCUUCGGGUUGUAAACCGCUUUCGCCUGUGACGAAGCGUGAGUGACGGUAAUGGGUAAAGAAGCACCGGCUAACUACGUG